GGUGUGACUGCGUACCUUUUGUAUAAUGGGUCAGCGACUUAUAUUCUGUAGCAAGGUUAACCGUAUAGGGGAGCCGCAGGGAAACCGAGUCUUAACUGGGCGUUAAGUUGCAGGGUAUAGACCCGAAACCCGGUGAUCUAGCCAUGGGCAGGUUGAAGGUUGGGUAACACUAACUGGAGGACCGAACCGACUAAUGUUGAAAAAUUAGCGGAUGACUUGUGGCUGGGGGUGAAAGGCCAAUCAAACCGGGAGAUAGCUGGUUCUCCCCGAAAGCUAUUUAGGUAGCGCCUCGUGAAUUCAUCUUCGGGGGUAGAGCACUGUUUCGGCUAGGGGGUCAUCCCGACUUACCAACCCGAUGCAAACUACGAAUACCGAAGAAUGUUAUCACGGGAGACACACGGCGGGUGCUAACGUCCGUCGUGAAGAGGGAAACAACCCAGACCGCCAGCUAAGGUCCCAAAGUCACAGUUAAGUGGGAAACGAUGUGGGAAGGCACAGACAGCCAGGAUGUUGGCUUAGAAGCAGCCAUCAUUUAAAGAAAGCGUAAUAGCUCACUGGUCGAGUCGGCCUGCGCGGAAGAUGUAACGGGGCUAAACUGUGCACCGAAGCUGCGGCA
This 616-nucleotide ribosomal RNA is filed under the name Klebsiella aerogenes. RNAcentral's name for it is "partial 23S ribosomal RNA". It matches the Rfam family "Bacterial large subunit ribosomal RNA", at positions 590 to 1207 of the family's 2925-position model. Lineage: Bacteria; Pseudomonadati; Pseudomonadota; Gammaproteobacteria; Enterobacterales; Enterobacteriaceae. The record is from RNAcentral.